UUCCGGUUGAUCCUGCCGGACCUGACUGCUAUCGGAUUGAUACUAAGCCAUGCGAGUCAUUGUAGCAAUACAAGGCAUACGGCUCAGUAACGCGUAGUCAACCUAACCUAUGGACGGGAAUAACCUCGGGAAACUGAGAAUAAUGCCCGAUAGAACAUUAUGCCUGGAAUGGUUUAUGUUCCAAAUGAUUUAUCGCCGUAGGAUGGGACUGCGGCCUAUCAGUUUGUUGGUGAGGUAAUGGCCCACCAAGACUAUUACAGGUACGGGCUCUGAGAGGAGUAGCCCGGAGAUGGGUACUGAGACACGGACCCAGGCCCUAUGGGGCGCAGCAGGCGAGAAAACUUUGCAAUGUGCGAAAGCACGACAAGGUUAAUCCGAGUGGUUCCUGCUAAAGGAACCUUUUGUUAGUCCUAGAAACACUAACGAAUAAGGGGUGGGCAAGUUCUGGUGUCAGCCGCCGCGGUAAAACCAGCACCUCAAGUGGUCAGGAUGAUUAUUGGGCCUAAAGCAUCCGUAGCCGGCUCUGUAAGUUUUCGGUUAAAUCUGUACGCUUAACGUACAGGCUGCCGGGAAUACUGCAGAGCUAGGGAGUGGGAGAAGUAGACGGUACUCGGUAGGAAGUGGUAAAAUGCUUUGAUCUAUCGAUGACCACCUGUGGCGAAGGCGGUCUACUAGAACACGUCCGACGGUGAGGGAUGAAAGCUGGGGGAGCAAACCGGAUUAGAUACCCGGGUAGUCCCAGCUGUAAACUAUGCAAACUCAGUGAUGCAUUGGCUUGUGGCCAAUGCAGUGCUGCAGGGAAGCCGUUAAGUUUGCCGCCUGGGAAGUACGUACGCAAGUAUGAAACUUAAAGGAAUUGGCGGGGGAGCACCACAAGGGGUGAAGCCUGCGGUUCAAUUGGAGUCAACGCCGGG
This 914-nucleotide ribosomal RNA is filed under the name uncultured marine archaeon. RNAcentral's name for it is "bacterial SSU rRNA". It matches the Rfam family "Archaeal small subunit ribosomal RNA", at positions 1 to 922 of the family's 1478-position model. The record is from RNAcentral.